RNA transcript from Cucumis melo (muskmelon), 4050 nucleotides. RefSeq lists it as uncharacterized. The record is from RefSeq and is a predicted model, not a curated record. The transcript has 5 exons. Lineage: Eukaryota; Viridiplantae; Streptophyta; Magnoliopsida; Cucurbitales; Cucurbitaceae.
CGGCCGCGCCUUCCCAAAGGCCAAAGACAAGACUGAGAUCAUUUCCGUCUACGGCUGGCGCUAACGCCUUGACGCCCACUAAACUCUCACCACCCUCCUCCUCCUCCUCCUACCUCCUCCGUCAAUAUGAUCCCGCCGGAGCUUCAAUCCCGCUCAUUUCGCCCUUACAUCUCCGCCUCUACCAGCGCCCCUUCCUUCUCCUCCAUCACCAAUGGCACCACCUCCUACGACCAAAACCCUAGUCCCUUUCUCGAUCGUCGUGCUUCUUCUUCUUCCUCUUCUUCAGCUUCUUCUUCCUCCAGAUCCUUCAAGAAUUCCCGUUUCUCCCCUUCUUCUUUCAUCUACAACUCUCGUAUUGCCAUUGCUCUUGUCCCUUCUGCUGCCUUCCUUCUCGACCUCGGCGGUACUCCCGUUAUUGCUACUUUGACUCUUGGCCUUAUGAUUUCUUACAUCCUUGAUUCUCUCAAUUUCAAGCCUGGUGCGUUUUUUGGUGUUUGGUUUUCUCUUCUUUUUUCUCAGAUUGCUUUCUUCUUCAGUUCUUCUCUUAAUCUCACUUUUAAUUCCAUUCCUUUGACUAUCCUUGCUGCUUUCCUUUGCGCCGAGACUAAUUUCUUGAUUGGUGCAUGGGCUUCGCUUCAGUUUAAGUGGAUUCAGAUCGAAAACCCUUCUAUUGUUCUUGCUCUUGAGCGUCUUUUGUUUGCUUCUGUGCCAUUUGCUGCUUCGGCUAUGUUUACUUGGGCGACUAUUUCAGCUGUUGGUAUGGUUAAUGCUUCUUAUUAUCUUAUGGUAUUCAAUUGCGUCUUCUACUGGUUGUAUUCUAUUCCUCGUCUCUCGUCGUUCAAGAAUAAGCAAGAAGUGAAGUUUCAUGGUGGAGAGAUUCCUGAUGAUAAUUUGAUACUUGGUCCUUUGGAGAGCUGUAUUCAUACCUUGUAUCUUUUGUUCCUUCCUCUGGUUUUUCACAUUGCAUCUCAUCACUCGGUGGUGUUUUCUUCUGCUGCUUCCGUUUGUGAUUUGCUGCUUCUCUUUUUCAUUCCGUUUGUCUUUCAACUGUAUGCGUCGACGAGAGGUGCACUUUGGUGGGUCACUAAGAAUGCCAAUCAAGUACACAGUAUUCGGGUCGUCAAUGGUGCUGUUGCUUUAGUUGUAGUAGUUGUCUGUUUGGAAAUUAGAGUUGUUUUCCACUCCUUUGGGCGAUAUAUUCAGGUGCCACCGCCUUUUAAUUACCUACUUGUUACUAUAACGAUGCUCGGAGGGGCAGCUGGAGCUGGUGCUUAUGUUAUGGGUAUGAUCUCGGAUGCUUUUAGUACCGUGGUGUUCACUGCUUUGGCUGUGAUCGUCAGUGCUGCCGGAGCAAUUGUUGUGGGAUUUCCAGUAAUGUUUCUCCCACUACCAUCUGUGGCUGGUUUUUAUCUGGCUCGGUUCUUUACAAAGAAAAGCUUGCCAUCUUACUUUGCUUUUGUCGUGCUUGGGAGCUUGAUGACUAUGUGGUUUGUGAUGCAUAAUUACUGGGAUCUAAAUAUUUGGCUGGCUGGCAUGUCCCUCAAGUCUUUCUGCAAACUCAUUGUGGCUGAUGUGGUUCUUGCCUUGGCUGUUCCUGGUCUAGCUAUAUUACCCUCAAAAGUUCAGUUUUUGACAGAAGCCUGUUUGAUUGGCCAUGCAUUACUACUAUGUCAUAUUGAGAACCGCUUUCUAAGUUACUCCAGCAUAUAUUAUUAUGGCCUUGAGGAUGAUGUGGUUUAUCCAAGCUAUAUGGUUAUUAUGACUACAUUCAUUGGCUUGGUCCUGGUACGCAGAUUAUUUGUUGAUAACAGAAUCGGACCAAAGGCAGUCUGGGUUCUCACUUGUCUGUAUGCUUCAAAGCUGGCAAUGCUGUUUAUUGUUUCCAAAUCUGUUGUAUGGGUGUCAGCUAUUCUCUUACUGGCAGUUUCACCCCCAUUGCUCCUUUACAAAGAUAAAUCAAGAACAGCCUCCAAAAUGAAGGCAUGGCAAGGUUAUGCACAUGCUGGAGUCGUUGCUUUAGCAGUAUGGUUUUUCCGUGAAACAAUAUUUGAAGCCCUUCAAUGGUUUAACGGGAGACCACCAUCAGAUGGUUUGCUUUUAGGGUGCUGUAUUUUUAUGGCAGGGUUGGCUUGCAUACCAUUAGUUGCUCUCCACUUUCCUCAAGUCCUGUCAGCGAAGAGAUGCUUAGUACUAGUUGUGGCAACUGGUUUGCUAUUUAUCUUGAUGCAGCCACCAAUUCCCUUGUCUUGGACGUACCGUUCUGAUCUUAUUAAAGCUGCCCGUCAGUCCUCUGAUGAUAUUUCCAUCUAUGGUUUUGUUGCCUCAAAACCUACUUGGCCUUCUUGGCUGCUUAUGUUAGCAAUUCUGCUCACUCUUUCAGCCAUCACAUCCAUAAUACCCAUUAAAUAUUUUGCUGAGUUGAGAGUAUUGUACUCCAUAGCUAUGGGUAUUGCACUUGGCAUUUACAUAUCUGCUGAGUACUUCCUUCAGGCAGCUGUUCUGCAUAUCCUUAUUGUUGUCACCAUGGUUUGUGCUUCAGUGUUUGUGGUGUUCACUCAUUUUCCAUCUGCUUCAAGCACCAGGGUCUUACCUUGGGUGUUUGCGUUGCUUGUUGCACUAUUCCCUGUGACAUAUCUUCUGGAAGGGCAAGUAAGGUUAAACAGCAUUUUAGGAGACAGCGUUAGAAACAUGGGAGAGGAAGAGCAGAUGAUCACAACACUAUUAGCAGUUGAAGGAGCAAGGACAUCGCUGCUUGGCCUUUAUGCAGCCAUCUUCAUGCUAAUUGCAUUAGAAAUAAAAUUUGAACUUGCGUCUCUCGUGAGAGAGAAAACUUCUGAAAGGGGUGGAAUGAGGCACACAAAAUCUGGUGAAAGUAGCAUUGGUAGUCUUAACACAAGAACAAGAUUUAUGCAACAACGACGGGCUUCUUCCAUGUCAACAUUCACCAUGAAGCGAAUGACAGCUGAAGGAGCAUGGAUGCCAGCAGUUGGCAAUGUUGCUACAGUGAUGUGUUUCGCUAUAUGCUUAAUUUUGAAUGUCAAUCUCACAGGUGGUUCAAACUAUGCUAUAUUUUUUCUGGCUCCAAUCCUUCUGCUUUUGAACCAGGACUCUGAUUUUGUUGCUGGAUUUGGAGAUAAGCAAAGAUAUUUCCCUGUUACCAUAGUGAUAUCAGCAUACUUAGUCCUCACUGCAAUAUACAACAUAGGAGAAGAUGUUUGGCAUGGAAAUGCUGGAUGGGGUCUAGAUAUCGGUGGUCCAGAUUGGAUAUUUGCUGUUAAAAACUUAGCUCUUCUCGUUCUUACAUUCCCAAGUCAGAUCCUUUUCAACAGAUUUGUAUGGAGCUUUACGAAGCAUACGGACUCAACACCACUGCUAACAGUGCCCCUUAAUCUACCAUCUGCCAUCAUGACAGAUGUGCUUAAGGUUAGAAUAUUGGGGAUUUUAGGAAUUAUUUAUUCCUUCGCCCAAUAUAUAAUCUCCAGACAACAGUAUAUGUCGGGAUUAAAGUAUAUUUAGACAGAUUGUACUCUGUAGAUUAUGUGGUGCAAUUUUCGAACGAGCAGUGCAAUUAAGGAGGCUAGUGAUUUUUAAGAAUAUUCCCAAUUGUCUAACCUCCUUGACGCAUCAAUGGUAUCUCUCUUACAUUUAUCGGCCCAGCUACAUGUUUCAAUUUUGAUUGAGCAUGUUAUAUGAUAACAAUGUACUAGAAUCGGGCCGUGCGUAUUAUGUCGGGGAAUCUUGACAUGCAACGCCACUAGGUUCUCAAUUUAUCGCCUGGACUUCGGGUGAUUGGCUGAUCUUUAUCAUGGGACACUUAAUUUUGUUUCAUGUAUAACACAUACGGAUUCCAUCUGACUGCUUGUUUAUUUUCAUUUAGAAUCUGUUCAUUCAGCACACAUAGUUCAAUUCCCAAUUUUCUUUCUUCUGGAAGGUGACUUGCUUCCCUCAUGGUUAGUUCUUAGGACCAAACUCUACAUUUUUCAAGGAAUAGUGACCAAACUCUUGCAAUUUUUACCUUGCAAAUAAUAAUAAUUAGUUAUGUAAUUUGUA